GAGGGUAUAGCUCAGUGGUAGAGAGCAUUCUUAGCAUGCACGAGGUCCUGGGUUCAAUCCCCAGUACCUCCA
RNAcentral lists this transfer RNA (72 nucleotides) under Camelus bactrianus (Bactrian camel). It matches the Rfam family "tRNA". Rfam says of the family: Transfer RNA (tRNA) molecules are approximately 80 nucleotides in length. RNAcentral also lists the same sequence under 3 other names. The record is from Rfam by way of RNAcentral. Lineage: Eukaryota; Metazoa; Chordata; Mammalia; Artiodactyla; Camelidae.